UUUACCGAUUGGUACGGAACAACUCAGAGAAAUUUGGGCUAAUACCGUAUGCGCCCCUUCGGGAAAGAUUUAUCGCCGAUCGAUGAGCCCGCGUUGGAUUAGCUAGAUGGUGAGGUAAGAGCUUACCAUGGCGACGAUCCAUAGCUGGUCUGAGAGGAUGAUCAGCCACACUGGGACUGAGACACGGCCCAGACUCCUACGGGAGGCAGCAGUGGGGAAUAUUGGACAAUGGGGGCAACCCUGAUCCAGCCAUGCCGCGUGAGUGAUGAAGGCCCUAGGGUUGUAAAGCUCUUUCAGUCAUGAGGAUAAUGACGUUAAUGACAGAAGAAACCCCGGCUAACUCCGUGCCAGCAGCCGCGGUAAUACGGAGGGGGUUAGCGUUGUUCGGAAUUACUGGGCGUAAAGCGCGCGUAGGGGAUUGGAAAGUCGGGGGUGAAAUCCCGGGGCUCAACCCCGAACUGCCUCCAAAACUAUCAGUCUAGAGUUCGAGAGAGGUGAGUGGAAUUCCAAGUGUAGAGGUGAAAUUCGUAGAUAUUUGGAGGAACACCAGUGGCGAAGGGGCUCACUGGCUCGAUACUGACGCUGAGGUGCGAAAGUGUGGGGGAGCAAACAGGAUUAGAUACCCUGGUAGUCCACACCGUAAACGAUGAAUGCCAGACGUCGGGGGGCUUGCCUUCGGUGUCACACCUAACGGAUUAAGCAUUCCGCCUGGGG
This 714-nucleotide ribosomal RNA is filed under the name uncultured bacterium. RNAcentral's name for it is "bacterial SSU rRNA". It matches the Rfam family "Bacterial small subunit ribosomal RNA", at positions 125 to 878 of the family's 1533-position model. The record is from RNAcentral.